UUGUUUCAGAGCAGUGUUUACACUAACUCACUUUUGUUCUCAGUUUGUACUCAGCACUGCUGUCAACUCCAUACAUUGGAAAUCAUAUCUCAGAAACUAUUAAAAAUUACAUCUUUCACUUUUUUUUUUUUUUUUUUUUUCUUCAGGGAGCCAAUCUAGGGAGAAAACAGGGAGAGAUAUUUUUUCCUACUUGUUUACUCUCCCUAUCUCCUUCACCCACCUCUUCUUCUCUGGGAUAGUUACGGUAGUUCUUAAAGAUUUUGAAUAUCCUUGGGAUGUUCAGACCAGAAUGUUGUUAUUGUUAUGUCUCCUAAAUGCACUUCAGAUUUUGUUUAAGGUUAAACAACUACUUAGGAAUGCCAUCCAGAGAUCUGUCCUGAGGCAGAAUGAGUGGCAGGGAUCCAGGGAUCCAAGGAUCCAGAUGAAGUCAAGUGUACACAACCCAUGUAGUGGAAAUUUGUAAGGAGUGCACCAUCAUCAUAUGCCAACUCAUUGGCAGUAGUGACCUGGAAAUACCAUGAGGAACCCACAGUGGAUGAAUUGGCUAAACAACUCUGGCAGUACAAAGAAAGUCUCUCCUCUUCUCUACAGGCCUGCAUCUCCGCUGUGGAAAAACUUUCUCAAGAGUUCCACCAACCAAAAGAGAAUACUUUGGAGAAACUUUCUGAAGAGGUCCACCAACUUAGGGAGAAUUUAUCUUCCUCCCCACUUGUACAAACCAGCAUCUCAGCUAUCAGAGGCUGUUUCAGCUGUCAUUCAAUGACUCUGUGGUUCAGCAACUGAACUGAGCGAAGAGGUGGGUGCUAAUAGCUACCACUACAAGAAGAGGGCUCAAUACCUGAAACCAAAGCUCUGGGAAGGAACCUUUUCUAUAAUUGUUCAGUACCUCUUGGUCCAAGAAGAUGAACCAACUUUGCUUUUAGGAUUGCUUUUCUGGGAACUUCCUUCUACGUUAAAGUAGCAUGACAGCAUCCACUGGCAAAUGGGUAAGAGGGAGAAUUACUAAAGAACUUACAGUGACAAAAUGUGAAGAGGAAACUAUUACGAUGUUGUGUAAGUUGUGCAGAAGAGCACAUGAUGACUUCAAGAAGAUAUCGGUUUACUAGGUUUUGAUCAUUUAAAACAAGUAAACUUUUUAUGCUAAUCCAAAGCUGGGCAGUGGGCUUUAUGAUGGUGUGUAUAAUUAUACAGUAGACCAUAUGAAAU
RNAcentral lists this long non-coding RNA (1206 nucleotides) under Anas platyrhynchos platyrhynchos (common mallard). Its description in RNAcentral is "lncRNA (ENSAPLG00000030080.1)". Lineage: Eukaryota; Metazoa; Chordata; Aves; Anseriformes; Anatidae. The record is from RNAcentral.